UGGAAGUGGUCUGAACGAGUUAGGGCUUGUUCUCUCGACCUAUUCAGAUUAUUCAAAAUCUGUGGUAGCCACUGGGAGAGCUGGGAGAGAGGAAGAGAAGAGCUUCUCUCGACCUCUGCAGGGAUCAUCUAUGGUCGCCGCAGGGAAAGCUGGGAGAGAGGAAGAGAAAAGUGAAGGUUUCAUUUGAUAGAAGUCUGAAGAAAAAUCUUCUCUCGACUUCUGCAGGGAUCAUCUCUGGUCGCCGCUGGUUAGCUGGAAGAGGGGAAAAGGGGAAGAGAGGAAGAGAAGAGUGAAGGUUUUAUUUGAUAGAAGUCUGCAGGGAUCAUCUAUGGUCGCCGCUGGUUCGAGUCUACAAAGCAACAGAAAGCUAUCCAGGAAUUCAUUAAGGGGUAGAAGGCUAGACAAGCACAUUCAGUGGUCUUUUUCUGUAUUAUGACAUGUACUGUAGUAACGACUUCAGCUUUAUGAGAUCCUGUAGAGCAUUCUUUUCAUUUGCCACUUUGUUAACAAAAAAUUUCAAAAAUGAUCUGGCCUCCUUGAAAAGGUUUAGACAAUAUAUUGGAAGCUAGGUACUUACAAGGCAAUUAAUAGAACACUAUUUACAGGUCUGCUCAUUUAGUAGAUGUAUGCUAGUUGAAUGAGUUGGUGCAGCAAUGGCAAUGGUAAACACUAUUGUCUAGUUGAUUAUCUGAACCUAAGAAAUUUCUAAGUGCAAAGAUUAACUCAAUGGCAUUCAGGUGUGCCCGUUGCAAGUCUUUUGAAGCACAAGAUGUGAGAGAUGUCCUGAUUCAUUGUCCAAGUAUCCAGAAACUAUGUGAUUGACCGAUGGUUCGGAACAAACUGUCUCCAAUUACAUACAUAUUUUUUUCAUUGCUAUGAGAUGAAGUAGAUUCUCUACAUUUUAAUGUGAAAAUACUCUUUGAACUUAAAAGAACAAUUUCAAAAGUUUCCGUUGAGAGGAGGAGCUUCCUAUAAUCUAGAAA
Molecule: long non-coding RNA, 983 nt
Organism: Macadamia integrifolia
Lineage: Eukaryota; Viridiplantae; Streptophyta; Magnoliopsida; Proteales; Proteaceae
Exons: 2
Source: RefSeq, a predicted model, not a curated record